Sapajus apella (tufted capuchin) is the source of this 134-nucleotide long non-coding RNA. RefSeq lists it as uncharacterized. NCBI's taxonomy places the organism in Eukaryota, Metazoa, Chordata, Mammalia, Primates, Cebidae. The transcript has 3 exons. The record is from RefSeq and is a predicted model, not a curated record.
GCAGAGGUUGUGGAGAAAAAAGAACACUUUUCCACUGUUUGUAGGAACGUAAAUGAGUUCAACCAUUGUGGAAGACAGUGUGGCGAUUCCUCAAUGACCUAGAACUAGAAAUACCAUUUGACCCAGCAAUCCCA